RNAcentral lists this non-coding RNA (30 nucleotides) under Rattus norvegicus (Norway rat). The record is from RNAcentral. Lineage: Eukaryota; Metazoa; Chordata; Mammalia; Rodentia; Muridae.
UGGGAACUUUUUAACAUAUGCUAAGAAUUC